GGACCUUGAAGUAAAAAUAUUAUCUAAGUUAUAUCUGUUCUUAUCAGUUUGAUAGGUUCUUUAUUUGAAGACUGUAUGUUCAAUUGAUUUUUGAAACAAGGGGAUGGAAAAGGAGCUUCUUUUAUCCACCCCCUGCAUUGACCUGGUAUUGCAGUGUCUCCAGGACCAGUACCUCUCCU
Molecule: small nuclear RNA, 179 nt
Filed under: Gopherus evgoodei (Goodes thornscrub tortoise)
Lineage: Eukaryota; Metazoa; Chordata; Testudines; Testudinidae
Description: U2 spliceosomal RNA (ENSGEVG00005018883.1)
Rfam family: U2 spliceosomal RNA
About the family: U2 is a small nuclear RNA (snRNA) component of the spliceosome (involved in pre-mRNA splicing). Complementary binding between U2 snRNA (in an area lying towards the 5' end but 3' to hairpin I) and the branchpoint sequence (BPS) of the intron results the bulging out of an unpaired adenosine, on the BPS, which initiates a nucleophilic attack at the intronic 5' splice site, thus starting the first of two transesterification reactions that mediate splicing.
Source: RNAcentral